Molecule: ribosomal RNA, 591 nt
Filed under: uncultured bacterium
Lineage: Bacteria
Description: bacterial SSU rRNA
Rfam family: Bacterial small subunit ribosomal RNA
Source: RNAcentral
GACGGGGGCCCGCACAAGCGGAGGAACAUGUGGUUUAAUUCGAUGAUACGCGAGGAACCUUACCCGGGCUUGAAUUGCUAACGACGGUUACUGGAGACAGUUUCCUUCCUUCGGGACGUUAGUGAAGGUGCUGCAUGGUUGUCGUCAGCUCGUGCCGUAAGGUGUCGGCUCAAGUGCCAUAACGAGCGCAACCCUUGCCGUUAGUUGCCAUCAGGUUAAGCUGGGCACUCUAUCGGGACUGCCAUCGUAAGAUGUGAGGAAGGUGGGGAUGACGUCAAAUCAGCACGGCCCUUAUGUCCGGGGCUACACACGUGUUACAAUGGGGGGUACAGAGGGAAGCCACCUGGCGACAGGGCGCGGAUCCCGAAAUCCCUUCUCAGUUCGGAUCGGAGUCUGGAACCCGACUCCGUGAAGCUGGAUUCGCUAGUAAUCGCGCAUCAGCCAUGGCGCGGUGAAUACGUUCCCGGGCCUUGUACACACCGCCCGUCAAGCCAUGAAAGCCGGGGGCGCCUGAAGUCCGUAACCGCGAGGAUCGGCCUAGGGCGAACCUGGUAAUUGGGGCUAAGUCGUAACAAGGUAGGCGUACCGGAA